This 19-nucleotide non-coding RNA is filed under the name Arabidopsis thaliana (thale cress). Lineage: Eukaryota; Viridiplantae; Streptophyta; Magnoliopsida; Brassicales; Brassicaceae. The record is from RNAcentral.
CGAACCGUUAUUACAUACA